GGGGCUGUAGCUUAGUGGUAGAGCGCCCGUCUCUCAUGUGUGGGACACUAGGUUCGAUCCUCAGCACCA
RNAcentral lists this transfer RNA (69 nucleotides) under Ictidomys tridecemlineatus (thirteen-lined ground squirrel). Its description in RNAcentral is "Spermophilus tridecemlineatus (thirteen-lined ground squirrel) tRNA". It matches the Rfam family "tRNA". From Rfam's summary of the family: Transfer RNA (tRNA) molecules are approximately 80 nucleotides in length. Their secondary structure includes four short double-helical elements and three loops (D, anti-codon, and T loops). Lineage: Eukaryota; Metazoa; Chordata; Mammalia; Rodentia; Sciuridae. The record is from Rfam by way of RNAcentral.